GCCAGACUCCUACGGGAGGCAGCAGUGGGGGAUAUUGCACAAUGGGGGGAACCCUGAUGCAGCGACGCCGCGUGGGUGAAGGAGCGCUUCGGCGCGUAAAGCCCUAUCGGCAGGGGAGAAGGAGGACGGUACCUGACUAAGAAGCCCCGGCUAACUACGUGCCAGCAGCCGCGGUAAUACGGAGGGGGCAAGCGUUAUUCGGAUUUACUGGGUGUAAAGGGGGCGCCGGCGGAAGCGCAAGCCAGGAGUGAAAGCCCGGGGCCCAACCCCGGAGCUGCUCUUGGAACGGCGCGGCUGGAGUGCAGGAGAGGCAGGGGGAAUUCCUGGUGUAGCGGUGAAAU
This 341-nucleotide ribosomal RNA is filed under the name uncultured bacterium. RNAcentral describes it as "partial 16S ribosomal RNA". It matches the Rfam family "Bacterial small subunit ribosomal RNA", at positions 330 to 687 of the family's 1533-position model. The record is from RNAcentral.